Ceratotherium simum simum (southern white rhinoceros) is the source of this 122-nucleotide non-coding RNA. NCBI's taxonomy places the organism in Eukaryota, Metazoa, Chordata, Mammalia, Perissodactyla, Rhinocerotidae. The record is from RefSeq and is a predicted model, not a curated record.
GGCUACAUAAAUGGAGGCAGAGAUUGGAGUGAUGGGGCCACAAGCCAAGUAAUGCUGACAGCCACCAGAAUCUGGAAGAUACAAGAAACAGAAUAUUUUCUAGAAGCCUCUGGAGGGAACAU